AAGAGGAGAGGACGGCUGGCAUUUAAACAAAUAUGGCGCUAUCAAAUCUGGGGGGGGUUAAUAGACACCGAUAAUGUCAUUUUUCACAGAGACUGGACUACAAAAUAUACUUUGGGGAAGCCUAUGUGUUUACUUUGUAACGACGUAAAUGCUGUUUGAAUGACUAUAAUCAGCGGAGGCACUUUCACAUGAAACAACACAACUUUGACGCAGUUCAACCCUCACAUUCCACUUGAUUAUUGUUGAAAAAUGGGGGUUUAUGGAUUUUUACAUUUGGACCCGUGAUUUUGGACUUCAUUGGCUUGCUGCAGACGCAUGCUGGCACGAGGAAGUGAACAUCACCAUGGUGACAAACUUGAUGAGCUCAGGCACAGUGGUGAAACUCUGAGGUAUGCCUGGAAAGGACACAGACAAGACGACAUGACAACAUCACUGCAAGACAUUUUUACAGCAGCCGUCUUUGCGGCGUGACCGAUGAUGAUGACGACCCGUCCACCGUAGUUCUGGAGGAUCCCCGUCGCGGGACACUGCAGCACCUCAUCAUUGGCACCGAACGUUGCACUGUAGGGGAUGUUGAUGCUGCCGGACAUGUGACCUCUGCUGAAGCUGGUGGCCGUGAGGUUAAAGAGCGCAGAUUAACUGAUAUUCCAGUCAAACCUACGUCCGGGAUGAAGCCGAUCUCGUUGAGGUGGUUGCUGAGCUCAGGGUCGUGGAAGGCGAUCAUUUGGGAGAAGACUGUCAAGUACUCUGGGGGGGGGGGGAGAGAGGAAGCAAGCAUCAUCUACUGCUGACUACACUUUAUUGUAUGGCUGGGUGCCAGUCACACAAAUAUCCAAUCUAAAAUCACUGUUAAUGGUUCUGUUGUGGACAUGGCGGAACAUUAUUUCUUUACUUUUUUACAUUUCAUCAUGUCCGAAAAGUAGUAGGAAGAAGCAGAGCUUAUUUGAUGCUACCACCCGAUGCCUCUACAAUUACUUAUAGUGGGCUCACUUCCUGUGUUUAUAUGUUGGGAAGAAAAAAGAAAUUGAGAACGUGUAACAAUACAGUAGAUAACUUAUGUUGUCACAAAAUAGGUAAAAACAGUAGAGUAGUAGUCAAGUAUAUGAAAAACAUUUUAAAAUACUUUUUUUUAAUAGGAGGGACACAAUACGAAAGAAAGAUAAAUUAAGGGAAAUGCCCUGUGAUUGGCUGGCGAAUAGUCUAGGGCAGGGGUGGGCAAACUACGGCCCGGGGGCCACAUCCGGCCCGCCAAGUGUUUGAAUACGGCCCGCCGUUUUUUUCCAAAGUAUUUAAUUUAAACGUACAACCUGGCGUCAUGGCUUGAGCCAACCUUUUGAUGGUCGACGUAGCUUUUUUUUUUUUAUAUCAAUAUAGUUAUUUGGUCUGUUUACAAAGUGCUCCUGAAAAAAGGGGCACAUGCACAUAUAGCAGAUUGCAUGACACUUUUAUAGAUACAAUAAUUCCAGAUGGACUGUUAGAAUUAUAUGUGUAAAAUAUAUAGUCUGCCCCCCCCGUCAAUUUCCCUAAAUCAAUUUGGCCCGCGAAUCAAAAAGUUUGCCCACCCGUGGUCUAGGGUGUACCCCGCCUCUCCAGCACCCCCCGUGACCCUUGUGAGGAAAAGCGGUAGAAAAUGAAUGAAUGAAUGAAUGAAAGUGACAAAUAUUGUAUAAUGCGAAUAUGUAUAAUACGUCUUUAAUAGGACUUGUCUAUACAGUGUAUCCAUACAUUUGAUCCAGUAUGAGGUUGGCACAUAAGUGUCAAUUAUGAGCAAGAAUUGGAGUAGCAACAGUAGCAGCCAUUUUAUUUGCCAACUUAGAAUUUAACAUUUGUUUAUGUUGUCUUGAAAUAAUCAACAUUAAAGCUCUGACCAGACAGAUAAACAUAAGCUGACUCUAAAGGCCACCUAAGAGUGCAGAGAUGAUAAUAGCGCUGUUCGUAGCUUUUUAUCAGUCACGCAGGAACCGUUUGGGACUUUUUUUUUUUUGCUGUUUCAUUUAUUUCCCUAUCGCUACAUGAGGCGCCUCGGCUGCAGAAUCCAUUAAGAAAGAUUUAAAUUCGUUUUCACAGCUUAGAAACAACACGGAGCCAAAAAAAUGUAAUCAACACUGAGCAGCUGGCCCGUUGCUCUGCUCCAGAUGAUGAUAAUUUGCUUUUGAACUGUGCUCCUCACCCUACAUUUGCAUUUUUCUCCCUCAGCUUGCUGGAGCAGCCCAACAACAUAACACAAGGAUGCGGCGGAGGGAAACCAUAAUGUAAAGAAAACAAUCUCCAAAGGCCUUGAGAUGAGUAUCACGGCAAAAACACAGGAAUAGAGAUGAUUCUUUUUGUCCAUCUCACCUUGGAUGACGUGCGAGUUGUCUUUCAAGAAGAAGUUGUAGAGGUAUUUUGGAAUGAAGGCGGACAUACAAGAGUAUGCCAAAGCUGGGAGGAGUACAAGGAUUAACAAAACGACAUGAGACAAACACACACAUUGUACAAUAGUUAGCAAAAAGAUAGCAACAAGUUUAGAAUCUUACCCUCAUUGUCAAAAUUCAAGUAAAGAAACGGGGCGCAAAGUGAAUCCAAACCUGGGAGGGUGGGACAAAACAUUUUACAAUCUACAAUAUUGACGAUUGCACAAUAAAUUCUAGUUUAUAUACACUACAUUUUUAGCUAAUGUCAAAAUCCUCAUGCUGACACACAAUUGCAACAAUCUUUGUACUUUUAGAAAAAAAAAUAUUUUAUAGCUGUCUUCGAGUGCGAGGCAAGGUACACCCUGGACUGGUGGCCAGCCAAUCACAGGGCACAUAUAUACAAACAACCAUUCACACUCACAUUCAUACCUAUGGACAAUUUGGAGUCGCCAAUUAACCUAGCAUGUUUUUGGAAUGUGGGAGGAAACCGGAGUACCCGGAGAAAACCCACGCAUGCACGGAGAGAACAUGCAAACUCUACACAGAGAUGGCCGAGGGUAGAAUCAAACUUGGAUCUCCUAGCUGUGAGGCCAGUGUGCUAACCACUUGAUACCGUGCAGCUCUAAAUGGCAAUUCAUUCAUUCAUUUUCUACCGCUUUUCCUCACGGGCGUCGUGGGGGUGCUGGAGCCUAUCCCAGCUGUCUUCGGGUGCGAGGCAAGGUACAGCCAUGACUGGUGGCCAGCCAAUCACAGGGCACAUAUAGACAAACAACCAUUCACACUCACAUUCAUACCUAUGGAAAAUUUGGAGUCGCCAAUUAACCUAGCAUGUUUUUGGAAUGUGGGAGGAAACCGGAGUACCCGGAGAAAACCCACGCAUGCACGGGGAGAACAUGGAAACUCCACACAGAGAUGGCCGAGGGUGGAAUCAAACUCAGAUCUCCUAGCUGUGAGGCCUUCGUGCUCACCACUUGUGUCGCUCAAAAUGGCAAUAUGAAUUUUAAAAAAUCCAGUUUAAUAUAUUACAAAUUGUAGACCAAAAAAAUGGAGAGAAGGGAGAAACCAUCAGUUAACAUGGAGUUUGUGCUUACUUGGCUAAUGCAAACCAGUACAGGAUUGCCCCCUUGUGGCCAACCAGGCACAGCACACAAUGUGUAAGCACAGGUGCAACAAGGUUGCAACUGCUGAGUAAACAAAACUGAAGAGGAGCUAAAGAUAAAGUAAGAUGAUGACGUGUAUCAGGCUCAGACUGACCCUGCCAGUAGACAAGGUCGGGAUGAGAGACCACCCAGGCUUUCAAUACCCGCCUGAACUUAACGUGACCCUGUGGAGACGACAGCAGCUCAUCAUACUGGUGGCACCGCGGGAUGUCCACUUCGAUCUGUGGGGCGACAAUAUGCUCUAAAAGUAAACACCCCAACUCGGUCAUUUAGCGUUCAACUAGCUGUUACCUGUCUGUCAGUUGGAAUGGGCGUAUCCUUGUCUAUGCUUUCGUAUUUGGCCUGAAUGUCCCCCUGCAUGGAGGAAACAACCCAUUCUCAUACAGACCUGAGAGUGUUUUGACAUUGACAUGUAAAGUGCAUACUUUUAUACCUCAAUGCCCAGCAGUGCAGCCCAUGCCAGCCCACGUACAAGAGGCGGAAUAUCCACCCUGGCUUCUUUGCACACAAGGUUCUUCUUGUAAGGAUACGCCUAACAACACAUUUGAAAACAAGAUACUUUUAAACUAAUGACGACAUACUCCCUUUAAAACUGUGUAUUAUAAUAUCAA
Molecule: non-coding RNA, 4164 nt
Organism: Doryrhamphus excisus (bluestripe pipefish)
Lineage: Eukaryota; Metazoa; Chordata; Actinopteri; Syngnathiformes; Syngnathidae
Source: RefSeq, a predicted model, not a curated record